UUUGCAAAGUUAAGGUUUGUUUAAGAUGACUUGGGUUUUAUGAAAUAAAAUAGGGUUUAUAUUUUGGGCGAUUUCAAGAGUUUUGUUAUAGAUCUAUGGGUGAAAUUUUGUGGAUUUAUGUUUAUAGUUGUGUUCAAUAUUUGUAGUGAAUUUAAGCUCGAUCUAACGGUUAAAUUGAAGGAUAUUGAGGUUUAAGUGGGUGAAGGUCUCAGAAAGUAG
This 219-nucleotide long non-coding RNA is filed under the name Physcomitrium patens. Its description in RNAcentral is "long non-coding RNA (PPAT_LNC011215)". The record is from RNAcentral. Lineage: Eukaryota; Viridiplantae; Streptophyta; Bryopsida; Funariales; Funariaceae.